Molecule: unclassified non-coding RNA, 22 nt
Filed under: Chlamydomonas reinhardtii
Lineage: Eukaryota; Viridiplantae; Chlorophyta; Chlorophyceae; Chlamydomonadales; Chlamydomonadaceae
Description: small RNA Cre_0672
Source: RNAcentral
AUAUGUAGGGCGUAUGCCGCGU